UUCAGGAUGCCUCUCUGUUGUGAUUAUUUUGUUGGAUUUAACUUCUCUAGAACCAAACGUAACCGGUCUCUACAUUUCUGGCAAUCUCACACCGUUCCUUCAGUGAUCCAUGCUCGAAAUGCAUAAAUGAUCGCUGACUCUUCUUCCCCUGUAGUCCUCAUUAUCUACUUGAUUGAGCCUUUUUGACGCUUACUCAUUUUUUUUCUCUUCCCUCCUCCCAGCCAACCAUAAUUUCAGGUGCUUAUUAAAACACACUCAGAUUAAUCCCCCCAAUUAGCACUCAGGGUGCCCAACUCACAGCCAUACUGCAAAGUCCCAUUUCCUCCUUGAGUCCUUUGCUGAUAUGCCCUGGUUUACACUGAUUCCUACCCUGGCUUUCUUUAGACCCAAAGACAUUUAGGCAAGGGCGGAUGGGCCAUGUUGCUAAGGAGGCUUACACUUGAGGGCCCCUUAACUUGGACAGUC
RNAcentral lists this long non-coding RNA (465 nucleotides) under Homo sapiens (human). Its description in RNAcentral is "non-protein coding lnc-SLC35F5-12:1". The record is from RNAcentral. Lineage: Eukaryota; Metazoa; Chordata; Mammalia; Primates; Hominidae.